This 429-nucleotide ribosomal RNA is filed under the name uncultured Orbus sp. RNAcentral's name for it is "bacterial SSU rRNA". It matches the Rfam family "Bacterial small subunit ribosomal RNA", at positions 355 to 774 of the family's 1533-position model. The record is from RNAcentral. Lineage: Bacteria; Pseudomonadati; Pseudomonadota; Gammaproteobacteria; Orbales; Orbaceae.
UGGGGAAGUAUUGCACAAUGGGGAACCGAGCAUGCAGCCAUGCCGCGUGUAUGAAGAAGGCCUUAGGGUUGUAAAGUACUUUCGGUGAUGAGGAAGGUACUUGGUCUAAUAGGCCAAGUAAUUGACGUUAAUUACAGAAGAAGCACCGGCUAACUCCGUGCCAGCAGCCGCGGUAAUACGGAGGGUGCGAGCGUUAAUCGGAAUGACUGGGCGUAAAGGGCAUGUAGGCGGAUGAUUAAGUUAGGUGUGAAAAUCCCCGACGCUCAACUUGGGAAUUGCAUUUAAAACUGGUCGUCUAGAGUAUUGUAGAGGAAGGUAGAAUUCCACGUGUAGCGGUGAAAUGCGUUAGAGAUGUGGAGGAAUACCGGUGGCGAAGGCGGCCUUCCGGACAGAUACUGACGCUGAGAUGCGAAAGCGUGGGAGCAAACA